UCAACCCUCAAGCCUGGCUUGUUAUUGGGCUGGAUCCCUUUUUUGUUUUACCAAAGAGGGAUCGGCCUGAAAGAUAAUGGCGGUGUCACUAAAUGACUCCUGGUGCAGCGAGCUUUUUUAACUAGCAUACACUGGAAAGUCUUUAAUGAAACCUCGCCUGAAAAUCUCCAUUUUCUUCAA
This 180-nucleotide unclassified non-coding RNA is filed under the name uncultured Phaeomoniellales. RNAcentral's name for it is "sequence contains ITS2". Lineage: Eukaryota; Fungi; Ascomycota; Eurotiomycetes; Phaeomoniellales. The record is from RNAcentral.